This 251-nucleotide ribosomal RNA is filed under the name uncultured bacterium. RNAcentral's name for it is "partial 16S ribosomal RNA". It matches the Rfam family "Bacterial small subunit ribosomal RNA", at positions 103 to 354 of the family's 1533-position model. The record is from RNAcentral.
CGGGUGAGUAACGCGUGAGGAACCUGCCUUUCAGUGGGGGACAACAGUUGGAAACGACUGCUAAUACCGCAUAACGUAUUUGUGUCGCAUGGCAUGGAUACCAAAGAUUUAUCGCUGAGAGAUGGCCUCGCGUCUGAUUAGCUAGUUGGUAGGGUAACGGCCUACCAAGGCGACGAUCAGUAGCCGGACUGAGAGGUUGGCCGGCCACAUUGGGACUGAGAUACGGCCCAGACUCCUACGGAAGGCAGCAG